This 253-nucleotide ribosomal RNA is filed under the name uncultured bacterium. RNAcentral describes it as "partial 16S ribosomal RNA". It matches the Rfam family "Bacterial small subunit ribosomal RNA", at positions 524 to 776 of the family's 1533-position model. The record is from RNAcentral.
GACGUAGGGGGCGAGCGUUGUCCGGAAUCACUGGGCGUAAAGGGUGCGUAGGCGGUCAUGCAAGUCCGAGGUGAAAGACCGGUGCUCAACGCCGGGGGUGCCUUGGAAACUGUAUGACUUGAGUGCUGGAGAGGCAAGGGGAAUUCCGCAUGUAGCGGUGAAAUGCGUAGAUAUGCGGAGGAAUACCAGUGGCGAAGGCGCCUUGCUGGACAGUGACUGACGCUGAGGCACGAAAGCGUGGGGAGCAAACAGG